Molecule: ribosomal RNA, 460 nt
Filed under: uncultured bacterium
Lineage: Bacteria
Description: partial 16S ribosomal RNA
Rfam family: Bacterial small subunit ribosomal RNA
Source: RNAcentral
CCUACGGGAGGCAGCAGUGAGGAAUAUUGGUCAAUGGGCGCGAGCCUGAACCAGCCAAGCAGCGUGAAGGAUGACGGCCCUACGGGUUGUAAACUUCUUUUAUAAAGGAAUAAAGUGAGACACGUGUGCCUUUUUGUAUGUACUUUAUGAAUAAGGAUCGGCUAACUCCGUGCCAGCAGCCGCGGUAAUACGGAGGAUCCGAGCGUUAUCCGGAUUUAUUGGGUUUAAAGGGUGAGUAGAUGGGUUGUUAAGUCAGUUGUGAAAGGUUGGGGCUCAACCGUAAAAUUGCAAUUGAUACUGGCAGUCUUGAGUACAGUUGAGGUAGGCGGAAUUCGUGGUGUAGCGGUGAAAUGCUUAGAUAUCACGAAGAACACCGAUUGCGAAGGCAGCUUACUAAACUGUAACUGACGUUGAGGCACGAAAGUGUGGGUAUCAAACAGGAUUAGAUACCCCGGUAGUC